GCCCCUGUAGCUCAGGUGGAUAGAGCACAGGAUUCCUAAUCCUGCUGCCGCGUGUUCGAGUCACGCCAGGGGCA
This 74-nucleotide transfer RNA is filed under the name Pseudomonadota bacterium. RNAcentral's name for it is "tRNA-Arg". It matches the Rfam family "tRNA". From Rfam's summary of the family: Transfer RNA (tRNA) molecules are approximately 80 nucleotides in length. Their secondary structure includes four short double-helical elements and three loops (D, anti-codon, and T loops). The record is from RNAcentral. RNAcentral also lists the same sequence under 2 other names. Lineage: Bacteria; Pseudomonadati; Pseudomonadota.